This 583-nucleotide ribosomal RNA is filed under the name uncultured bacterium OSs82. RNAcentral's name for it is "bacterial SSU rRNA". It matches the Rfam family "Bacterial small subunit ribosomal RNA", at positions 1 to 576 of the family's 1533-position model. The record is from RNAcentral.
UGGAGAGUUUGAUCCUGGMUCAGAUUGAACGCUGGCGGCAUGCCUUACACAUGCAAGUCGAACGGCAGCAUGAUCUAGCUUGCUAGAUUGAUGGCGAGUGGCGAACGGGUGAGUAAUACAUCGGAACGUGCCCUGUAGUGGGGGAUAACUAGUCGAAAGAUUAGCUAAUACCGCAUACGACCUGAGGGUGAAAGUGGGGGACCGCAAGGCCUCAUGCUAUAGGAGCGGCCGAUGUCUGAUUAGCUAGUUGGUGAGGUAAAGGCUCACCAAGGCGACGAUCAGUAGCUGGUCUGAGAGGACGAUCAGCCACACUGGACUGAGAACACGGCCCAGAUUCUUACGGGGAGGCAGCAGUGGGGAAUUUUGGACAAUGGGGGCAACCCUGAUCCAGCAAUGCCGCGUGUGUGAAGAAGGCCUUCGGGUUGUAAAGCACUUUUGUCCGGAAAGAAAUCGCACUUACUAAUAUUAGGUGUGGAUGACGGUACCGGAAGAAUAAGGACCGGCUAACUACGUGCCAGCAGCCGCGGUAAUACGUAGGGUCCAAGCGUUAAUCGGAAUUACUGGGCGUAAAGCGCACGCAGGA